GGGCCCGUGGUCUAGUGGCUAUGAUGCGACUCUUACAAAGUCGAGGUCGUCGGUUCAAUUCCGGCCGGGCCCA
Molecule: transfer RNA, 73 nt
Filed under: Methanobacteriota archaeon
Lineage: Archaea; Methanobacteriati; Methanobacteriota
Also listed under: 1 other name
Description: Euryarchaeota archaeon tRNA-Val
Rfam family: tRNA
About the family: Transfer RNA (tRNA) molecules are approximately 80 nucleotides in length.
Source: RNAcentral